This 536-nucleotide ribosomal RNA is filed under the name bacterium A3M_VP7_F10. RNAcentral describes it as "bacterial SSU rRNA". It matches the Rfam family "Bacterial small subunit ribosomal RNA", at positions 337 to 865 of the family's 1533-position model. The record is from RNAcentral.
UAAUACGGGAGGCAGCAGUGGGGAAUAUUGCACAAUGGGCGCAAGCCUGAUGCAGCCAUGCCGCGUGUAUGAAGAAGGCCUUCGGGUUGUAAAGUACUUUCAGCAGUGAGGAAGGUGGGUAUGUUAAUAGCAUACUCAUUUGACGUUAGCUGCAGAAGAAGCACCGGCUAACUCCGUGCCAGCAGCCGCGGUAAUACGGAGGGUGCGAGCGUUAAUCGGAAUUACUGGGCGUAAAGCGCAUGCAGGUGGAUGAUUAAGUCAGAUGUGAAAGCCCGGGGCUCAACCUCGGAAUAGCAUUUGAAACUGGUCAUCUAGAGUACUGUAGAGGGGGGUAGAAUUUCAGGUGUAGCGGUGAAAUGCGUAGAGAUCUGAAGGAAUACCGGUGGCGAAGGCGGCCCCCUGGACAGAUACUGACACUCAGAUGCGAAAGCGUGGGGAGCAAACAGGAUUAGAUACCCUGGUAGUCCACGCCGUAAACGAUGUCUACUUGGAGGUUGUGGCCUUGAGCCGUGGCUUUCGGAGCUAACGCGGUAAGU